AAGGAAAGCAUUGCGCAUGCGGGAAACCCACGCUGAGGGAAGAAUCAUGGGAAAGAGUAGAGACGGGGUUCCACCGUGUUAGCCAGGAUGGUCUCGAUCUCCUGACCUCGUCAUCCUCCCGCCUUGGCCUCCCAAAGUGCUGGGAUUACAGGCUUGAGCCACCGCGCCCCGCUCUUUCGUGUUCCAAAGGCUUUUUAAAUAAACUUCCACUCCUGUCCUGGAUUCUGCUUUAUGGCCCUCAGUCGAAUUCUUUCUUCUGAGGAGGCAAGGACUGAAGUUGCUUCUGACCAGUACAGGAGAAAACGAAUACAGCAGGGAUGACUUCCACCAGCUCCACUUUGCAGCUCUGAGGUGUAUUAAAAAUUUGUUUUUCAGAAACCUAGAGCCCCACCAAAUGAAUCCGCUGGCACGUGGACCUCAGAUGGGGGAAACUGAGGACUGAAUUCUGACCACCCUCCUUUGUUCUAAAUUUCUUCCUGAAGGACCUGGAAGAAGUCAUGCCACGGGCCAGACCUUAACAUUCCUUUCGGCUUACCCCAGGAUUUCAGACGAAGCUUCACUUUCCUAACCAGUCACAAAUCAGAGAAUUUUUGAUUCCACCUAUGACCUGUGAGCUCCUGCUUCAAGAUAUUCCACCUUUUUUAGGCCAAACCAAUGUAUAACCUCCAAGUGUCGAUUUACACUUUCGACUGUAACUUCUGCUUUCCUGAGAUUUACCCCUGCCUUUAAAAACCCUUGCUUGUAAUCCCUCAGGGAGGCCGUGUAUUUAUUAAUCAUGAGCUGCCCAAUUCUCCUUGCUUGGUGCCCUGCAAAUAAACACCCUCUUUUCUCCCACUGCAAAA
RNAcentral lists this small RNA (842 nucleotides) under Homo sapiens (human). RNAcentral describes it as "PPP1R3B divergent transcript (ENSG00000285236.3)". Lineage: Eukaryota; Metazoa; Chordata; Mammalia; Primates; Hominidae. The record is from RNAcentral.